Peptoclostridium acidaminophilum DSM 3953 is the source of this 68-nucleotide small RNA. It matches the Rfam family "RAGATH-18 RNA". Rfam says of the family: Actinobacteria, Firmicutes, Fusobacteria, Thermotogae (1 example). Nearby to self-cleaving ribozyme genes Lineage: Bacteria; Bacillati; Bacillota; Clostridia; Peptostreptococcales; Peptoclostridiaceae. The record is from Rfam.
CCCUUGGACUGUUACACCAAACCAAAGUAGCAUGCUUCACCGCAAAAUGGGACAGGAUGAAUGGGGAA